Molecule: long non-coding RNA, 378 nt
Filed under: Amborella trichopoda
Lineage: Eukaryota; Viridiplantae; Streptophyta; Magnoliopsida; Amborellales; Amborellaceae
Description: long non-coding RNA (ATRI_LNC002695)
Source: RNAcentral
ACCGUCGAUCAAGGGUAACUUGUGGGUUGAGAGAUCUGAACCAUCCAUUUUAUAGAUGGGUCAUCAACAUUAUGGUAGGGGCAUGAACCAUUAUCCCCCUUUCGUAGACCAUUUUUCCAUCAAAAGAAAAUAAGUUAAAUUAAUUUUAAUUAAAUAUUGUACAUUCUAUAAAAUACUACAUCUCUACACAUAUUUUCUAUAAAAUCUAUCAAAGAUAUAUCAAAUCAAUAUCUACUUCCAUAUUAAGUCAAUAUAUGGUCAAUACAUACUCAAUCUAUAACUUGACCACAUGUCACAAUUUAAAAUUAACAAAACAUAACGCCACAGGGACCACAAAUAAAACUUUCCAUAAAAUAGAAAGUAGUAAGAGGUGGGGCG